UGGGUUUAAAGGGAGUGUAGGCGGUUUGUUAAGCGUGUUGUGAAAUUUAGAUGCUCAACAUUUAACUUGCAGCGCGAACUGUCAGACUUGAGUACACGCAACGUAUGCGGAAUUCAUGGUGUAGCGGUGAAAUGCUUAGAUAUCAUGAAGAACUCCGAUUGCGAAGGCAGCAUACGGGAGUGUAACUGACGCUUAAGCUCGAAGGUGCGGGUAUCGAACAGGAUUAGAURCCCUGGUAGUCCGCACAGUAAACGAUGGAUGCCCGCUGUUAGCGCCUGGCGUUAGCGGCUAAGCGAAAGCAUUAAGCAUCCCACCUGGGGAGUACGCCGGCAACGGUGAAACUCAAAGGAAUUGACGGGGGCCCGCACAAGCGGAGGAACAUGUGGUUUAAUUCGAUGAUACGCGAGGAACCUUACCCGGGCUUGAAUUGCAGAGGAAUUAUUUAGAGAUA
This 451-nucleotide ribosomal RNA is filed under the name uncultured bacterium. RNAcentral's name for it is "bacterial SSU rRNA". It matches the Rfam family "Bacterial small subunit ribosomal RNA", at positions 555 to 1008 of the family's 1533-position model. The record is from RNAcentral.